Long non-coding RNA from Solanum dulcamara, 3106 nucleotides. RefSeq lists it as uncharacterized. The record is from RefSeq and is a predicted model, not a curated record. Lineage: Eukaryota; Viridiplantae; Streptophyta; Magnoliopsida; Solanales; Solanaceae. The transcript has 2 exons.
ACAUCUAGAUAAAAUGAAACCAAACAGAAGAAAAAACAUAGCUUUCCAAAUUUUCUCUAGCCGAAAAUUGGACAAGAGGAAAUUGGAGAAGAAGCCGAAGCCACCAGAGCUUCAGUUACCAUCAAGGUUGAGGUCUAGGAACCAUCAAAUCGAUGAGAUUUCAAAGUAUACAUUUAGGCAUUCACAAGUCUCACAAAUUCCAUGUAUCAACUCAAGUGAAGACUUUUUCAGCUAUAGGCCAUCCUUACCAGAUAAGUAACAAAAACCUCCUCAAUCGGCUAAGUCAAUGUCACGACUAAUUUCAAAUUUACUUUCCUCUCAUGACAGAUUGAGCUCACCAAGGAGAGAAUACCACUACCGCUGGAAGUGAAGCAAGACCUUCCAUCAAUCAUGAUUUGAUAAAGAACAACAACCCUCUCUGUGCAGAAAAAGCUGUCCAGAUAUGAAGCUUCCAAAAAGUAUAGCCUACAAAUUUAAAUUUUUUCCUCUUUUUGUUUCUCUGCCACUUGCCUUUUGUAUGCUUGCACUUUUUAAAUCUUGCUCACUAGUCCCCAUUCGUGUCCCACAGUUAUUUCUUAUUAUAUUUUUUAUGCAAUCUUGUAGCUAUGAUAUACUAAUUACCCCUUAUUGAUUUAUUGUUCCAUAUUGAAUCUUUCUGAUUCUUAAAUUUGGAACCUGUUCUCUGUCCAUGUUUAGAAUUGAUCUUGCAUCUCUUGGUAACUCUUGAGUAUUAUUGUAAGUUAUAAUAUCAGUACCUGCAUAAAAGAAACUUUCAUUAGAUAAAAAAUCUGCUAGCUUGUUUCCCUCUCUAUACACAUGUUUCAUCACCACUACACUCCUUUCAUCAAACUCCAAAUCCUCCUUACAUCCAAAGCUACACUCCAAGGUAUCUCUCAUAUACCUUCUAUAAUCUUUUUAACAAAGAGAAUCAGUUUCCAUUCCAAGUCUAAAUGCUUUGAACCCAGCCACUAAAUUGGUACAGAACCCCAACCUCUUAAUUUCAGCAAAGAUAAAUCCUCCUGAAUCAUUUCUAAUACAGUAAGUCCCUGAACUUAGUCUAGGAUUGCUUUUACUAGCUCCAAUAGAAUUAUAUUUAAAAUUUACCUUCGCUGGAAGAUUACAGUAUACCAUCUUACAUACAUUCUUAUGAGAGUAUUGGUUCAGCCAAUAAACCAGAUCAGGCCAUGAAAAUUCAUAUUUUUUAACCAUGGAUAUAUACAGAUAGCCAUAAGCAAAUAUUUUUGUUAAUAGCCAGUUUCAUGUUCCUUCUAGACAUCUUUCCACCAUGAGUUAUAGUAUUUCUUCUUUUCCAUAUCUCCCAGACGACAAACAUAGGUACAGCCUUAAACAAAGGUCUCAGUUUAUAGGCCACCUCUGCUGAUUCUCAUUAAUUGUCACCUAGUUGAAUAAAAGGACCAAUCAGUCCUGCACAUGCUGCAAAUCUUUCCACAUUAAUUUAGAAUCAAGGCACCUCAUGAAAAGGUGUUUAAUAGUUUCUUGAACAUCUUGAUCACAACAACAGCACACUACAGAAUCCACAAUUCUGCCAUUUAUAAGAACUUCACCAACUGGUAGUCUUUUUUUCAUAACCUCCACAAAUAAAAAGAUAUUUUGAAAGGAACUACUUUUUCCCAACACCUUGACAAGCCAUUAUGUUGAUCAUUUUUCUGUCUAACAACUUUUCAGGCAGAUCUAACAGAGAACUUUUCAUUACUAUUCAGCAUCCGCCAGGUCUUGUCCCAUUCUUCCUUAUCUUUUUGUAGUUGUCUCAACCCUUUAAUGUGAUUACAUAUCUCUCUGUUGAAGGAGUUUGUUAAUAAUUUCUCAUCCCAUCUUUCUUCUCUGAACAACUAUCUUACCUCAUCUAACUGUAGGUUAAAUUGUCCAGUGAUAGAAAUGAUAUAUUCCAAUGCUCCUAAUUGUGUCUAGUUAUCAAACUACACACUUGAAUUUCCACACUUAGGUUCCCACCAAAUUUCCUGAUCAAACAUCUCCCUGGCUUCUAACAUAUGUAUCCAACUCUAAGAUCCAACUAUCCAUUAUACUAUGUAAGGUUCUUUUUUCUUGCAGUAUUUAUUCCACAUAAAAUUAGUCCAAAGUAAUUUUUGAAUACUGAAAAUCCACCAGAGCUUUGCAAUCAUAUCCUUUCCUACAUCACCUAAGGAUAUGAAACUCAGCUCCCCUUCCUCCUUAGUUUGCAAUAUUAGCCCAAUUAAUCCAAUGUUUACUUUUGCCAGUCUCCUUGACAUUCCAAAAGAACCUAGCAAAAAUUCUCUCCAAGUCAUGAAUAACAUUCUUAGGAGGAUUGAUAGCAGAGAGUAAAUAAAUAAGGAUACUAUUUAGGACACUAUUGAUAAGCACUGUCUUAGCCCCAAAAGAUAUCAUUCUACCUUUCCAUGCUUGCAAUUUGUUUUGAACCUUUUUGAUCAACCUUGAGAAGUGACACUUCAAUUUUUCAUGACUUAUGGGACAUCCCAGAUAAGUUAAUGGAAAACUACCCUUUACAAAACCAAUAGCAUCCCUCACCUCUUCUACAAUAAAGUUAUCAGCUUUGCUAUACAUAAUGAAUUAACUCUUGUGUUUAUUCACUAUUUGUCCAGAAUAGGACUCAUAAUCUCCAAAUUUGGCCUUCCUAGUUUUAUAUUGUAUUACUGGUGAUAAUCUAGCAGCUGUCAUGAUUCUUUCCUCUGUAUUUUGAUUAUAUUCUUUUUCUUUAUCUUUAAUUUUCAUUCUCCCUUGUUGUUCAUUCAAGAUAUUAUACCCUAUCUCCAUCUCCUCAAUUUGAUGAGUGACAAUGUUAUGCAACUGUUUUACUAAGUCUGGACUAGAGAAGCCACCUUACUGACUACUAAGGAGUUUUUUUCUUUAUGUGGAACCUGUUCUAUCUGCAACUGGGAAUCAACUGGAUAUCUACUAUUAUCCUCGUCAUUGAUUUCCAUGUUAUCAAUUUAAAGAGGUGCCUCUUGGAUAUUUUCAUUGUGAUCUGAUUGACCCUCCUUAUCAUACACUACUAUAGCAUUCUCUGUAGGAUAGUCAUCCUUAGUCCUGUCAGCAGAAGUUGUAGGGCAAAUGUUUAUAUCUAUAUGAAGGACUUCUGAUGUCUGUA